Long non-coding RNA from Electrophorus electricus (electric eel), 1265 nucleotides. Lineage: Eukaryota; Metazoa; Chordata; Actinopteri; Gymnotiformes; Gymnotidae. The record is from Ensembl.
AUCCUGUGUGCGGGUCUGUCAUACACUCUAGAGGUCUUGUGGUAAAGUUGCUUUACGUACACGACUGGAAAAUGAGCCCCGUCUGAUUAGUAGUUUAGUGUUGCCAGAAAUAUCAAACACAGCAUGACUGCUGGGAAUAAGGGAGCUGAACAGUGACACAACAUACUGGCAGGCAGGACUGUGAUGUUCUGGACCCUGGACUAACCCCCUCUGGUAAAGGAGGAUUACUGUGCUGCUGAGGUGUAGUGGGGUUUAGUCCUGUUUCUACUGUGGGAUAGAUGGUGCUUUAGUCCUGUUCCUAAUGUUGUUUAGCAAUUUACUCCUGUUUCUUUUAUGGCAGGUGGUAUAAUCAGGGUACUGUAAAUAAGUGACUUUUUUCCUAAUAGUGAUCACCCUCAUAUUUAGUCAGCUGCUCCUACCUGUACAGUACUGACUGGGUCCUCCUGUCUCCUCUGUACAGUACUGACUGGGUCCUCCUGUCUCCUCUGUACAGUACUGACUGGGUCCUCCUGUCUCCUCUGUACAGUACUGACUGGGUCCAUCUGUCUCCUCUGUACAGUACUGACUGGGUUCUCUUUUGUCUCCUCAGUCAUGCUGUCUUGGAGCAGGUGUCACUGUGUUCUGCUGUUACAGCUGCUGACAGUCAUAGCUGGCUCUUUUCCUUCAGUAAAGGUGAAUCUUCAUGAUGCUGCUACUCUCCACUGCACUCAGACGUGUUCUGGUCUGGUCACAUGGACUUUAUAUCAUAAACCACAUGACAUUCUGGCUCAGUGUAACCAGACAUCCUGCCAGUCAAAGGAGGGAUUUCACAUGUCCCAUGAUCAGUACCUGAAGGGAGAUCUCUCCCUCACCAUCACUGAUGCUGAUUACACUAAGAGGACCUGGUACACCUGCGCCUGUAAUGGUAAAGACAUCUGUGAUGUGAGUCUGCAGAUAGAGGCCUGUAAUUCUUCAGUUCAGAUUAAGCCUGGUGAACCUCUGGUGCUGGAUUUGCUCAUAUCAGAGUCAGUUGAGGUGAUUUAUAACAGCACAGGUGCAGCUGCUCCCUCUAGUGGACAGAUCUGCACAGUGGCUGGACACUCACUGAAGUGUAAACCUGAAUACACUCGGAGAGUGUCGCUCAUCUCUGCUGUGGAGCUGAGAGGAACCGCACCAUCUGAUAGUGGAGUUUACAGCAUCAGAGACACUAAGAAUGAAGAGAUUAUUCAGACAUACACAGUUACUGUGGAAGGUAAGUGUGGUUACUGUGAUUUUAAUGUUGCCUA